GACUUCCUUCAAAACCCUUCUAGCUUGCUCAGGAAUGCAGAACAAUAAAUCAUUCAAGCUAAAGGCAUUUACAGCUUUAAAAGAAAAGAAAGAGGAGAUUCCAGAGCAGUAUUUUUAAAUGCCUCGCCACGAUUUCUCGGUGUACUUAAGGAGAUCAAAACGACUUGCUCAAAAAGACUUCUCAGAAGCUGAGGAGUGAAUGAGAGACUAGUGUUGGAACACACACAGGGAUCAAACAGCUCUGCUAGCAAAAUUUUGUAAUGAGAAUCCAGACUUCAUCAUAUAGAAGCACAUGCUACAGAUAUUACAGAAACAAAAUGCGACUGAGCUGUAAAUCUGUUUUGAACAGUUCAUUUACUUCUGUUGGGUUUUUAAAAUAUUUGGUCAAGGAAUCCCUGUGAUAUUCAUAUCAUUGGAAAGGAAAAUAUUUGGCUGGAACAACUCCCCUGAACCAGUACCAAACCUGCAAGCAACUUUCUGUUGAUGACUGUUGUCUUGUCCUCCUCCCACUCAGUGCUUUCAAGAGCAUGGCUCCAUCUUCUCAGUUGGAUGAUUCUAGAGGGGCUGUUGUUAGGUCCCCCUGAAGCCAUCUCUCCUCCAGACUCAACAAGCCCUGGUCCCUCUGCUUCUCCUUGCAAGGCAAAAGAUCAAGCUGCAAUCAUCCUGGCAGCCUUCACCUGAACCCCUGCUUUUGUUGUGGGAUACAAAGUAAACCGGAAUUAUUCAAGAUUGCAGCAUACCAACUCCAAGUUGUUGCUCCUCUUUCCUCCUCUUCCUACCCCAGGUCUCCAGCUACAAUUACUCUUCAAAAUAUAUUGGCGGGAGUUGU
This is a long non-coding RNA of Chroicocephalus ridibundus (black-headed gull), 829 nucleotides long. RefSeq lists it as uncharacterized. The transcript has 4 exons. Lineage: Eukaryota; Metazoa; Chordata; Aves; Charadriiformes; Laridae. The record is from RefSeq and is a predicted model, not a curated record.